This 305-nucleotide ribosomal RNA is filed under the name uncultured bacterium. RNAcentral describes it as "bacterial SSU rRNA". It matches the Rfam family "Bacterial small subunit ribosomal RNA", at positions 335 to 636 of the family's 1533-position model. The record is from RNAcentral.
ACCCCUACGGGAGGCAGCAGUGAGGAAUAUUGGUCAAUGGGCGCGAGCCUGAACCAGCCAAGUCGCGUGAGGGAAGACGGUCCUAUGGAUUGUAAACCUCUUUUGUCGGGGAGCAAAAGACGCCACGUGUGGCGUUCCGAGAGUACCCGAAGAAAAAGCAUCGGCUAACUCCGUGCCAGCAGCCGCGGUAAUACGUAGGGGGCAAGCGUUAUCCGGAUUUACUGGGUGUAAAGGGAGCGUAGGUGGCAUGGUAAGCCAGAAGUGAAAACCCGGGGCUCAACCCCGCGGAUUGCUUUUGGAACUAU